This 440-nucleotide ribosomal RNA is filed under the name uncultured bacterium. RNAcentral's name for it is "partial 16S ribosomal RNA". It matches the Rfam family "Bacterial small subunit ribosomal RNA", at positions 338 to 795 of the family's 1533-position model. The record is from RNAcentral.
CCUACGGUGGCAGCAGUGGGGGAUACUGCACAAUGGGGGGAACCCUGAUGCAGUGACGCCGCGUGGGUGACGGAGCGUUUCGGCGCGUAAAGCCCUAUCGGCAGGGAAGAAGGAGGACGGUACCUGACUAAGAAGACCCGGCUAACUACGUGCCAGCAGCCGCGGUAAUACGUCGGGGGCGAGCGUUAUCCGGAUUUACUGGGUGUAAAGGGGGCGCAGACGGCAGCGCAAGCCAGGAGGGAAAGCCCGGGUCCCAACCCCGGGACGGCGCUUGGAACUGCGCGGCUGGAGUGCAGGAGGGGCAGGCGGAAUUCCUGGUGUAGCGGUGAAAGGCGUAGAUAGCAGGAGGAACACCGGUGGCGAAGGCGGCCUGCUGGACUGCGACUGACGUUGAGGCCCGAAAGCGUGGGGAGCAAACAGGAUUAGAUACCCGAGUAGUC